This 441-nucleotide small RNA is filed under the name Pan troglodytes (chimpanzee). Its description in RNAcentral is "retained intron". The record is from RNAcentral. Lineage: Eukaryota; Metazoa; Chordata; Mammalia; Primates; Hominidae.
AACAUAGUGAUAAAUGACAAGACAAUGCUUGUUAUACAUUUACAUGUAGAGAGCACACUCUGGUGUGUUCCGUAGAUACAGAACAUUAAGACAUUCUUUAACCUCUUAGCAUGCAGGUUGUAAUGUUGAAAAGAGGUGCUGUUGGAGAUGUCAUGUUUACUUCUCAAUGAUCUGAGUAUUAAAUGAAGCCUUUUAUCAUUCACUUUUACAGAGGAAGUGCUCUUCAGAAAAGGUUGCGUGAUAGAGAAAAGGAAAUGGAAGCAGAUGAACGAGAUAGGAAGAGAGAGAAGGAGGAGCUUGAGGAAAUCAGGCAGCGCCUUCUGGCAGAAGGGCAUCCAGAUCCAGAUGCAGAGCUCCAGAGGAUGGAACAAGAGGCUGAGAGGCGCAGGCAGCCACAAAUAAAGCAAGAGCCAGAAUCAGAAGAGGAGGAAGAAGAAAAGC